GAUGAACGCUAGCGGCAGGCUUAACACAUGCAAGUCGAGGGGUAACAGGAGUAGCUUGCUACUUGCUGACGACCGGCGCACGGGUGCGUAACGCGUAUACAAUCUACCUUUUGCUGAGGGAUAGCCCAGAGAAAUUUGGAUUAACACCUCAUGGUAUGUAGGAAUGGCAUCAUUCUUAUAUUAAAGGUUACGGCAAAAGAUGAGUAUGCGUUCUAUUAGCUAGAUGGUGUGGUAACGGCACACCAUGGCAACGAUAGAUAGGGGCCCUGAGAGGGGGAUCCCCCACACUGGUACUGAGACACGGACCAGACUCCUACGGGAGGCAGCAGUGAGGAAUAUUGGGCAAUGGAGGCAACUCUGACCCAGCCAUGCCGCGUGCAGGAAGACUGCCCUAUGGGUUGUAAACUGCUUUUAUACAGGAAGAAACACUCCCUCGUGAGGGAGCUUGACGGUACUGUAAGAAUAAGGAUCGGCUAACUCCGUGCCAGCAGCCGCGGUAAUACGGAGGAUCCAAGCGUUAUCCGGAAUCAUUGGGUUUAAAGGGUCCGUAGGUGGAUAAUUAAGUCAGAGGUGAAAUCCUGCAGCUCAACUGUAGAAUUGCCUUUGAUACUGGUUAUCUUGAGUUAUUAUGAAGUAGUUAGAAUAUGUAGUGUAGCGGUGAAAUGCAUAGAUAUUACAUAGAAUACCGAUUGCGAAGGCAGAUUACUAAUAAUAUACUGACACUGAGGGACGAAAGCGUGGGGAGCGAACAGGAUUAGAUACCCUGGUAGUCCACGCCGUAAACGAUGGUCACUAGCUGUUCGGAACUUGUUUCUGAGUGGCUAAGCGAAAGUGAUAAGUGACCCACCUGGGGAGUACGUUCGCAAGAAUGAAACUCAAAGGAAUUGACGGGGGCCCGCACAAGCGGUGGAGCAUGUGGUUUAAUUCGAUGAUACGCGAGGAACCUUACCAGGGCUUAAAUGUAAGUUGCAUGAUUUAGAGAUAGAUCUUUCUUCGGACCACUUACAAGGUGCUGCAUGGUUGUCGUCAGCUCGUGCCGUGAGGUGUCAGGUUAAGUCCUAUAACGAGCGCAACCCCUGUUGUUAGUUGCCAGCGAGUCAUGUCGGGAACUCUAACAAGACUGCCAGUGCAAACUGUGAGGAAGGUGGGGAUGACGUCAAAUCGUCACGGCCCUUACGUCCUGGGCUACACACGUGCUACAAUGGUAGGUACAGAGAGCAGCCACUGGGUGACCAGGAGCGAAUCUAUAAAACCUAUCACAGUUCGGAUCGGAGUCUGCAACUCGACUCCGUGAAACUGGAAUCGCUAGUAAUCGGAUAUCAGCCAUGAUCCGGUGAAUACGUUCCCGGGCCUUGUACACACCGCCCGUCAAGCCAUGGAAGCUGGAAGUGCCUGAAGUCCGUCACCGCAAGGAGCGGCCUAGGGUAAAGUUGGUAACUAGGGCU
This 1445-nucleotide ribosomal RNA is filed under the name uncultured bacterium. Its description in RNAcentral is "bacterial SSU rRNA". It matches the Rfam family "Bacterial small subunit ribosomal RNA". The record is from RNAcentral.